This is a long non-coding RNA of Hippocampus zosterae (dwarf seahorse), 976 nucleotides long. RefSeq lists it as uncharacterized. The transcript is spliced from 3 exons. Lineage: Eukaryota; Metazoa; Chordata; Actinopteri; Syngnathiformes; Syngnathidae. The record is from RefSeq and is a predicted model, not a curated record.
UUCCUGACAAAGCAAAUCAAGUAACCCGGAAGCAACAUGUCACGUGGUGCCGCUGACGCCAGUUGGCCGCCAGAGGGCACCGCUGUAACACGCUGCUGCUCGCCAAGUCACAUGACUCCACCAAGCAAGACGCUUCUCGUUUUGCAUCCCUACUGUUUGUAAAUGCUUUAAUUUUUAGACCUUUUUAAUAAAUUGUUAACUUAAUUCAGAACUGUGCUGGUAAUCACAAAGAUAUGUAUGGCGAAAUUUGUUCCACUCAAAUAAAUGCAUGUAAUGACUCUACCAUUGACUUUUAAUUGAUUUAUUUUUCUGUGAUGAGCAUCAAGUUAGGAAUAUUGGGCUGGUAACCUAUGAUUUAAGAAAUAAACUAACAUAUGUGCCGUAUGAUUAUGAUUAUGAUUAUAAUUGUUUAAUUUACUACGGUUCUUUUUUGUGUAAUUUGUUUAACUGCAAUACAUCAAUAAGAAAUUAAUGCAUGCAUUAUAAUUAAGCAAUUGGGGGGGGGGGUCACAAUUGCGACAUUAAUCCAACAAUAAUGCAUACCUGUCAACUUUUCGGAGCGCCAACCUGUAUAAACUACCAAAAAAAUCCGUAUAAAGAGCAAACGAUCCUUACAACAUACCAAAGCAUUUUAUGUCAAAAAUAACGGCACAGAAAAAAACCCACGAAAUGUUCAAUGAUAUUUAUUGUAGAUCUCCAUAAUACAAUGUCUGGUUAAUGUCUAAUCAUCAUUCUACUUAGUGGCAUUACUGUGUUAAGAGUUGUAUUCCGGAAAUGAAAGCAUUCGAGUAGAGGAGCACCGUUCUGGGCAAAAGCAAACGGAACUACCUGUCGGUGGGGGCGGGGGGGACAAAAAACGGAAAUGUUCAGAAUCCGUAUGAUUUGUGCGAUACGGCCAUAUACGUAAGAUUCACCACAAAAUCCGUAUGAACUAUGGCUAAACCGUAUGAGUUGACCGGUAUGAUUUCACUGAAUG